CAACGUCCGGUUGUUUGGGACGCACCCAAGCGGGCGCUAACUUCACUUAAGGUUAAAUACGGGUUUAGGAGCCGGUAGCAAACAAGUCUUGUGAAGGAAAUUGAAAACCACUUUGAAAAGGAGAGUCCAAAGAGAACGUGAACCCUUUAUAUGUGGAAGCAGGAUGGGAGCCGAGGUUUCCAGGGCGACUUAAGCUGUUUUUGGGGGGCGAUUUGUUGUUUUGAGUUUCCGCAAGGUGCUCGGUCAGCAACUUUCGCAUUCUAUAACAGUGCUCUUGCGUACAGAGUGUGCCGAAUCGGUUGGAGAUCGCUGCUUAAAAACCGGGAAGAGGACCAGUUUUCGGGCAGGAAACCUGAACGGUUGGAAGGCGGAUGGAUCUGCCCGCAUAAAAAAAGUCGACUUGGGUGCGGUCGGUAGGAAGGAAGGGCUUGUUAGUACGCGACGCCUGCGUUUCGUGCCGACGGCUUUUGUUUCAUUUUGAUUGUUGCUUGGCUAAAAUUCGGUGUAUAAUCGGUCACCCAUUUGACCCGUCUUGAAACACGGACCAAGGAGUUUAAGGUGUGCGCGAGUCAUUGAGCGAUAAAAACUCAAAGGCGUAAUGAAAGUGGGACACUUGGUGUCUGUGAUGCGAGCCGUGUGCGACUCGUUGCGCGCGGCGCAGCAUCGACCCAUGACCAGGACUUGUUUCUGUUGUGGAGUCCGAGCGUACGCUUUGAGACCCGAAAGAUGGUGAACUAUGCCUGAACAGGACGAAGUCAGAGGAAACUCUGAUGGAAGUCCGAAGCGGUUCUGACGUGCAAAUCGAUCGUCUGAUUGGGUAUAGGGGCGCAAGACUAAU
Molecule: ribosomal RNA, 838 nt
Filed under: Schistonchus sp. ex Ficus yoponensis WY-2014
Lineage: Eukaryota; Metazoa; Nematoda; Chromadorea; Rhabditida; Aphelenchoididae
Description: eukaryotic LSU rRNA
Rfam family: Eukaryotic large subunit ribosomal RNA
Source: RNAcentral